GAUUUCGGUUCCGUUCUUAGUGCAUUCGGUUCUGAUUCGGUUCUAUUUUCAGUUCCGAUUUCGGUUAUGGUUCCAAUUCUAGUUUCAAUUCCUACAUUCAAAUUAUUAUAAUAAUUACAUCAAAGCAUCAAUAAAAAUAAUAAUAUUAAUCUUAAAAUAACAAUACUAAUAUCCAAAUAAAAUAUCAAUAAAGUAACAUAAAAUAGAACUAAUAAUUCUUACAUAGAAAUACAUGAUAAUACCAAAUAUCUAUAAUAAGUCCCAUUAAUAUUUUCCAUAUUCCAAAUUACAAAAUAACAGCAAAUUAGUAUCAAAAUAAUAAAAAAAAACCAUAAUAUAAAGUUUCACUCACAUUUCGUUAAAAAAAAAAACAACUAGCCUCUACAUUCCUUAUAGCUACAUUUUCCACAUAAAAUGAAUUCCUUCAAGCCUUCCUCAAAUAUGAUGUCACCUUCAUUUUCACACAAUAAAUAUGUUAAUAGAUGAAUAAUUUUAAUUAAUUAAAGGUAAAAAAAAUAUCAAGUCAAUUCACAACUCACAAUACCUAGCAAUCCACUCUAGUUCUUGGAAUAAUAAUCUCCAUAACAUUAGGAUCUUGAGUAAUCUCUAAAUUUCAUUACAUGAAAAAAAAAGCAAGUCAAAAGAAAAAAAUUUUUGCAAACAAUGAAUAAUUAAGAUCAUAUAAUAUUUGUCGCAAUAGUUAUACCUGACUCCCAAUUUUCAAGAUCUUCAAUGGAUUCUUCAAGUUGGAUGGGUUUUUUUUUCAUUUAUCAGCCAAUCUCAGCAGCAAAUUAAGACCUCUACAGUAGUUGGAAGCAAAGAACUCCUAAAUUGAUCCAAAGUUCUCCCUCUGGUGCUAAAUGCAGGUUCAGAGGCUACGGUUGAACACUGAAUAGCCAGAACAUCCUUGGCAACCUUAGAUAAAAUUGGAUACCUCACUGAAUUCACCUUCCACUAUAAUAAUAAAUCAAAAUCCAAAGUAAACUUCUCAGGAAGUUCUUCCAAAUACCUAUCCAACUCAGAUUCAGAAGCCAACUUUUGCUUCUCCAUUUGAAUAAAGUAAUCAUCAAUCUCUUCAUCUUCUUCUAUCAGUGCAUUAUCACAUUUUUCAACAUUAGCAUUUUGACCAAAACCAUUAUCACCCAUACAUGCUUGAUCAUUUGAACUCAUAUAUUCAUUCAACAUUUCUUUUAAAGCAUUUACCACUCUAUCAACCAAGAGUUUGAACUCACUUUUAGAAUAACAAAUAAUGUAUUUGGCUUUAAUGUAAUUCAACUUGUAUCUAGGGUCUAGGACAACUGCUACAAAUAGCAUCACAUUCAUCUCGUCUAAUGAACCCCAAUAUUUGUCAAACUUUGCCUCCAUUUGCUUGCCCAUUUCAACUAUUCUCUCAUCUCCACUAUUUUCACAAUUAUGUAAUUCCUUUAAAAUUUUCAUGAUCUCUGAUGGUUGCCAAUUCCACCAAAAAUUAACUAAAAUUACCAUUAAUGAAAUGCUCUUUUGUUUUCUGAAUGCAAUAAGUGAUAAUCUAGGUCGAACCCUAGAGACUGAGUUGCUAAAUUUUGUGCACUUGUGUAAUAGGAAAAGGGGAGGGGUGGGGAGG
This 1603-nucleotide unclassified non-coding RNA is filed under the name Hevea brasiliensis (rubber tree). Lineage: Eukaryota; Viridiplantae; Streptophyta; Magnoliopsida; Malpighiales; Euphorbiaceae. The record is from RNAcentral.